AAUUAUUAAGUAUAUUAAUAGUACAUCUAACUUCCAAUUAGAAAGUCCCAAGAGGAAUAAUUA
This 63-nucleotide transfer RNA is filed under the name Ciconiphilus decimfasciatus. RNAcentral's name for it is "tRNA-Gly". Lineage: Eukaryota; Metazoa; Arthropoda; Insecta; Psocodea; Menoponidae. The record is from RNAcentral.